This is a long non-coding RNA of Manihot esculenta (cassava), 4193 nucleotides long. RefSeq lists it as uncharacterized. The record is from RefSeq and is a predicted model, not a curated record. Lineage: Eukaryota; Viridiplantae; Streptophyta; Magnoliopsida; Malpighiales; Euphorbiaceae. The transcript is spliced from 2 exons.
AGGAUAUAACAAACCAAUACAGCAGAGGAUAUAACAAACCAAUACAGCAAUAAAAUAAUAUGAUUUCUAUGAUUAUCUUGCAUUCUCUACAAACAUGUACACAAUUAUCAUGCCCGCCGCCGCCGCCGCCUGCUGGUUAUAUUUCCACUUCCGUCCGACGAAUUAUUGAUAGCAAUGGCUCUGACCUUCGAGUUUACAAAGCUUGGAGAGCAGCAAUUUAUGUUCUGCCCUUCCUCUGAUUUUAGCUUCUUCAUCUCCCAUUUCCAUGCAUGUUUGUGCCAAUUCUGUUCAUAUUCAUGCAUUCUUACAGUGGAUUUCUUAUAUAAAAGAGAAUGCUUUUUCCCAUUGUUGUAAAUCUUCUCUAUCUUAUUACUGAGAUUCCCCGAUAAGUUUGAGCAUGGAUUCGCUGACCGUAUAUCUUACGCUCGAUGGUUUUCACUUCAAAAUUUACCCACGCUAUUUCAUGCAUUACUCUUCUGUUUCUUUCGAUUGUGGAGUAGUCAAUGUGAUCACAGUUGCAAACCAAGCAGCUGACACUCGAUUAUCUCACUAUCUACACUGGGGUAGACUUAUAUUUGGUCCAGACGAGGUCAGUAUUCCUUACGGUGUUCCUGAUUGUGAAUCCAGUAAUCUUGUAUUGUGCUUUUGUUUCGCAUGGUAAUUUCAGCCCAAAUUGGCAAUCUACUUCUUGUUGCAUGUGCCAUCUUCCCAGCAUAUGUAAGUUCUUCCUCCUUACUGACCGAUAGCUCACUGCAUUUCAUCUGUAUUUGAUUUCUUUACCCUUAUGCUCUCUGUUGUUCAAGAUGUUGUACCCCAUCAUUAUUGUGCCCCAAAUCAAAGAACAGUUUCAGGAAAAAGAUAAAGGGGAACUCAUAUUAUGCCACUUAAAUGUCACUGGAAACCGGACAUUCCUUGUGCCGAACGAUCCCCAAAACUAGCUUUCAUGUAGAAGUGGAAAACAGCAAGAUUCUUCUGAUGCAGAUGUUGAAAGAAUAUAAGGUAAUGUUAACAGUGUUGGAGGAUUGGAGAGGUGUGGUUGAGGCCCAACCAACACAUAACAAUUGGAUCAUGAAGCCAAUGGAGAGAGAUAACACCUGAUAGACGUAUAUUUGCUGCUGAGAUUGAAAUUGAAUUGGAGCAUAGUUUAUGAGAUGGACAGAAAAAUUUCUCAAGAUCAUAAAGUUGUUUGUACUGUGUAAUUUGUCUGGAGGUAAGGAUUUACAUCUCAAAGUCCAAAGCCUAUGACAUUCUCUAAGUAGGCUAGUUGGAGCUGACCAUUGACAUGCCAUUCAACUGGAAGGAAGAAAUGCUGCUAUAUGCUUCACAUUUCUUAAGAGGAAAAGAAAAGGCUCAUGCUUGAUUAGGUAUGAAGGGUUACUUAAAUCCAACCAUCUUUACUGUUACUUAAGGAAUGUUGUGCUACUGUGUUCAAUAUUCUGGAAAUUUAGUUUGUUGUUAAUAUCUGUCAGUCUAUUUAAUAAUGUUAGCAAUGUGAUGAUAAUACCAUUAACCUCUUAAUUAACUUUUAACUAAUUCCUUGCUGGUAGAAGAGAUACUGAACGAAUGGAGAUUUCGAUGGGUGGGAAGUCAAGCUUUGUUAUAUGUAUAUACAUUGUUGCAGUUUUUUUGGUGUUCAUUCCUUUAGUUUCCUAAUUCUGUGACUCAUAAUAAAAAAAUUUGUUCUUCCUUCCUUGAUGGUUGAGAUGGGAAGAUUUAAACUUGAUAAUGUGCCUUUUCAGAUAUGUCAAUGAUAAUUAGAUAGUAUGAAAUUUCUGAUAGAGUGAAGAAGGGAGCAAUUGAUAUGAUAAUCUUUCUGAAACUAGUCAAAUUUGAGAAAUUUAAUUGUGCUUAUCCCCACUAGUCCAGCGACAUAGAGGUUAGAGAAAUAAAGGUGAGUGCAGGAUGAUGCAAGGACACCAGAAAUCAUGUCUCUCAAAAUCAUAACUCAUUGAAUUCUAACUAAGAAAAGCAAAAACUUCAAAAGAAGUAGAUGGUAUGGAAGUUCCCUAGAGAGGUAGUUAGAUGUUGUCUGUAAACAAGCGAUCGCGUACUGAAAAUUUUUUGGCUGCUGCAUAUUUUAUUGGCUUGUGUUUAUUAUGAAAGACUGAAAAACAGAAACUUCAAAAUUCUAAAAUGAGUAGCGACUGUGAGAGCCCUGAGUGUGUGUGUGUGCUAAUGCUAUGCUUGUUUACCAAUCUGAAUGCAAAUUGUUCAAGUUUUGAUUCCCAUGUGAGUAUCCUAACCCCAUCAUGUUGCCUUCAUAGUUUUGUUUCCUCCCAAUCGUCGUAUGCCCAGUUGGUUCCACCCCUAGGAAAUCAAGAGUCAUUUUUUCGCCUCUUCCCAUGUAUACUUCUCCUCCGAGACUGUUAGAAGCAUUUCCAUUUUCAGAGUGCAUAUUGAGAGUAGAAUCAAAUAAUCCAGUUUGAGAAAUGGUGGUAUAACCAUUCCUUGAAUAUCCUGGAUCAAAGUUGUUAUCCAACGUUUCUGUGUCUCCCACACAGAAGCUGUUCAUGUUUGCUGCAGUUGGUUCCAUAUUGCUACCAACUAGCGAUGAACCUUCUGGGGCUGACCCAGAUGAAUUCAUGUUGCUUGGAGGAUAUCCAGCAAAUCCUCUGAGGAGAAUUGGAGCAAUUGAAUUAUCACUGAUCUUAGCACCCAUUUCUGCAGCUUUCUGUAACAGAGCUGUUGCAGAGGUAAAAGCAGAGCCCAUUGCCAUAGGAGAAAUAUUUGAUCCAUCUGCAGAGCUAAAACAUGCCAGUGAAGUUCUUGGAUUUAGUAUUGGGUUUAAAUUACUUGACAUCGUUAUCCCAGUGGAGUUCAAGGAUAAUGGCCUCCGUGAAUUGUCAAUGUUCUCAUCAGACAUUGUCAGAUUCAUCAUUGAGCUUUUCUUUGAGCAGGAGUCAGAGCUGGGCAUUGUUGAAGUGAACAGUUCUUGUACUUGACUCUGCAAUAUUCCUCCAGGGGCAGCAAGAGUUUGAUUUGCUUUAUAAUUUUCCUCUGCCAAUGCAUCACAGAAGGCUCUAUGCGUGACAAAGCUAUCCUUCCUGUGCAAAAAUUUUUCGAAAAAUUGUGUCAGCAGAAGUUUUACAGCAUUAGUUGCAUCUCGCAUAUCACAAGCUAAUAUAACGGCACGAGAUGCACGAUAACAGAAAAUUUAGGGAAAGUAUACUUCACCUUGAGAAAAUGGUACCACAAUCACAGCGAUACUCUCUGGUGCCGCAGAUCUUUGUGUGAGCUUUCCAGUCUGAUUGAACAGCAUAACGCUUUGAGCAUUUGUCACACUUCCAUUUCUUUUCUCCAUGUUUCCUGCAGAAGUGCUUCUUUAUGCCUGUUAAGUCUCCAAGAGCUCGGCUUGGGUCAUGAUGCACACAAGUUGGCUCAGGGCAGACAUACACUCUCUUCUUAACCUGUGUUGUUGGCCUUUGCUUGAGUUUCCAGGGCAAGUUGUGUCCUCUCCUGUGGAGCUGAAGAUUCUGAUCUCUCUGGAAUCCUUUAUGACAAACCUCACAAAUAUACCUAUUUGUAGCCAUUAAAGUCCUUGGAGAUAGAGCUACAACCUCAGCAUCUGGGUCUGUUAUGCAUUAAAAGAAGCAGAGGAUGUUAAUUUGGAAUUUGAUAAUUACUAGGUUUACAGACAGCCAUUUGAUAGAGUUAUGUUUAUGCCUUGGUUCAAGUUCAUAUGGUACCAAUUUCCUAAAAAGCUGCUAAAAUUGUUAUGCAACUGUGUCUCAAAUGAAUUGCUGCUAUGUAUGUAGACAACAAAAUGAAGCAUGUUUGCUUGCCUGGAUUCCCUGGAAGAUUUCUUCUCUUUUUCGUGCUAGCAGAGCUGGUUGGAACUGAGCCAUCAAGAACAUUUUCAGUAGGAUUAGGACUACCAUAAGAAGACUGGGAGACAAUGGUGGACUGGAACUGUUCAUCAUCUUCAAAUUCCUGCGAAAAGUUUGACAUUUUUCUGAAACACACUGAUACUCAACCAUGCAGGGAAGGAAAGGAACUAAUAAUAUAAGCUGAGGGGAAGGUGAUGUUUGGAUAGCAGACAAAAAGAAGAAGAAAUUCCAAAUAGGUCUCAAUCAAAGACUAUGGUCCAUCUAUAAAUAUUAAAAGUUGAAUUGGAAUUCUUUGACAGCAACUUCAUUGUAUCAUAAUAUUAAAGUUAAAAUCAAAUGACAAUUAAAUUAAGACAUUACAGGUUC